Macaca mulatta (Rhesus monkey) is the source of this 10253-nucleotide non-coding RNA. The record is from RefSeq and is a predicted model, not a curated record. NCBI's taxonomy places the organism in Eukaryota, Metazoa, Chordata, Mammalia, Primates, Cercopithecidae.
UGCAGGCUGCAUGUCUCUGGCCCUUCGGCGGCCUCCCCUUCUCCCAGCCCUCCACUCACCGGGCCUCACUUACUGCUUCACACGGCAGUGGAACGGUUGGGAGCGUCCACACUUGCCCCAUUGCUGCAUCUGUCCCUGGGGCUGCGUCCUCCCGGCCCUGCCCACAGCCAGUGUGCCCGGGGCCUGUCCUCUCUCCCCCACCCCCACUGAGGGCCUCUCUCUGGCAGGCUCCCUUCUCUCUGUGCACCAGGAAUGGUUCCUUCUCUGCAGGCCGUGCCCUCGACAAUCCAGCCAGUGGCCCUGUCUCCUCCUGUGGAGUGCAGCCCACGCACCUGUUCCGCAAUGAGGGCCAGGCUCUCUCUCAGGCUGUACAGGCUGAUGACGGGGAUCGUGUGAUGGUACCUGGAAGAUACGAGGGGGCUUGGUCCAGCACCACGGGCAGGUUUGGGGGCAGAUGGGGCAUUAGCUCUGUCUGCCCCAGCCCCAACAGCACAGGCUGUCUGAGCACAGGCCGGUAUCCGCCACAGGAGUCUUGUCUGGGUUCAGAACUUUGGACCGGGAAGGCAGCUUCAUCUGCCGGGGAGAGCAUGGCUCCAUGUGGGGCCCGGCCAGGAUGCGGUGGGUGGUACAGGAGCAGAGACACACACCACCACCACCCUGCUGAGCCCCUCAGCCCCAGCGUGCCCACGAAGCCAGCACUGGCCCUCUGUGCCCACUGGGCUAGGGCAGCAUUCCUGGAGCCUUGUCCCUGUGUGUAACAUAAGGGGCCUUGGGUUUAUGGCCAAGAUUAUCUUUUGAAAGGGGAUAAACUGAGGCCCAGGAGUGGGGAGAUAUGGCAGGGCCAGGUCCAAAGUGCCCGAGGAUGUGCUGGGACCUCUGAGCGGGGGGACAGAGUUUGUGGAAGAGGCAGUGGGGGCCAAGCCCCUGCCCAGAGCCUCGGGCCAGUCGAGGGAUGGGGAAACCCAGGGUGGGGCAUGCCGACCGCCCGAUGCAGGUGAGUUCUGGGACUCUGAUUGGGGUUCUUGUGGCAUGAAGGUGGGGGGCUCAGAGAAUCCCUGAGUGCAGUGAAAGGUCAGCGUCCCCCCAGCCAGCCAUGCCCAGCACCCCCCACACCUUCCCGUCCCUGCCGGGCCUCACAUCCUGGGCUGGCCGUCACAACCCCAGAAGUUGGCCAGCCACUUGAUGUCCAGGUAGAAGGAGAAGGGCUUCGUCUUGCGGGAGUACAUCUUCUUUCUGGGGAGGAAAAGCAGCCUGAGCACCGGCCCCUCAGUUUGGGCUGAAGGUAGGAGCAGUCUUGCUGGCUGUCCUGUUUCACAGGAGUGAGACGGGGUGGGGCCCCCAAGAGGGCCUGCCCCAGCUGCAUUUAUACUCAGGGGCCAAUGUGGGACCGGGCAGGUCCUGGGUCCCUCAGCUGUCCAGUACCGCUGGCCCUUGGGCCCAGCCUGCACCUCUGCCCAUGUGGGUGUGACCCUGCCAUGGGGGCACUGAGGCCAGCUCCCUCCAUUCUGUGUGCCCCUUUCUCUCCCCCAGCCCUUCCUACAGGGUCAGCCUUCAUUUCUCACAUCAUCCAAAGGUGACUGCUUUCGGGCCCCAGGGCACACUGGCCAGGCUUAAAACUUUAAAUGUGUCCGUCUCUACAACUCCAAGUUGGUGGGCCAGCCCCGGUCUCUCCCCAGGCUCCUGACUCACACCCAGCCGCCUCCUUCACCCUCCCCUGUGAUCCAACGGGCAUCUCAGACCUCCCACGUCCAACACCGAAUUCCUGACUUCACCCCAAAGUCCUCUCUGUUCUGGGGAAUGGCACCUCCAGUUGCCAGGCUGCAGCUGGAUGUGAACCGCCUGUGAGGCCUGGCCCUCUUCCCCCACCCCUGGCUCGGAAUCUGGACACCAGGAGCGGGAGGUGAGAUUGGGACUGCAGGGGGCACCAUGUGUGGCCCACGUUGUGCCUUGGGGCAGCCCCUGGAAGCCAAGCCAGGGUGGGUCGGGGUGCUGGGCCCCAGGCCCUCAGUUCUUUCCUGGCCACUCCUUGGUGUGAAGCUGGGAACUUCCAGAGCAGCGGACUCUGCACCCUGCACAUGCCCACGGCCCUCCCCUUGCCUGGCCUCCCCACUCCCCGUGAACGCAGUGCCUUUGGCCUCCCGGAGGGUGGGCAGGAGAGCGCCAGGUGCUGGAGGAGCCUGGGGAGCCCUUCCAGCCUGGCUCCCGCCCCUCCUGCCUCGGGCCACCUGAGCUCCCUGCGAGCCCAGCCCUGCACAGAGGUGAGGGUCUGUGGGUCACUCACUUGGCCUUGUCACUGAAGGAGAUGAACGAGGUCCCUGGGGGGGCGUUCAGGACCUUCUGGGAGCCCGAGUACAGGAUGUCGAUGCCUGUAGAUGGGUGGUUUGUUUGGGACGGGGGAGCCCCACCACAGGGCAGGCCGGUCCAGCGGGGUGCCUGCCUAGCUAAUGGGCUGGUGGGCUACGACCCCACAAGAAUCCGUACACGAUGGGAGGGGAGACAUGGAAGGGAAUCCUGGGUUCGAAUCUCAGCACUGUUGCGUGGCAGCCAUGACCUCAGGCCUGAGCCUUUUAGCGCAGCUUCUCCCUCCGCUGUGCGAAUGGUCCCCAGGGACAGCCCUGCCGCCCCUGGCCCCGUGUCCUCGGGUCCCUCCCCAGGUCCCUGCUUUCAGUAGUAGUUUGAGGAUCAGCCCAAAAAUCCCUCCCUUCCUGCCUGAGAUCUCCCAAAUCAGGAGGGGCUCUGCAGAAACAGAGAGGCUCCCAUGGAGUGGGUGGGCAGGCACCGCAGUGGGCGCAGGGUGCAGGCUCUCCCUCGUAAACGUGCUGAUGGGCACAGGAGGCGCCUUGGUCCCCUCGGCCGGCCUGGGUGAGCUUCCCUGCGAGGUGACCCUGUGCAGUGGUGCUCACUGCUGUGGGCAGCCUGGCGGGGUGCAGGGCGGAUGUGAAACUGAGCCUCUGGGGGUUCGGCAGAGGGGUCCCCUACACCUGAUCGACUGGAGCCCUGGCCACUGCUUCUACUACAGCUCUGGGGCCUCUCAAAUGUCCCCCACCAGCUGUCCCUCCCGCCAGUCCCCAUGCCUGGAUCUGAAAGCUCAGUGGAAACACUGGGGUGCCGGGUAGUUCAUGGAGCCGCUCUUGCCCCAGUAAGGAGUGAGUGUUUCCCUGGGCCGGGUGGAGAUGAGGCCGAAUCCGCAGUGUUGGCUGCCGGAUGCGCACUUCCAGCAGGGCUUCCUGCACCCGGAGCCCCUGGCUGCUCCGGCUGGGUAGGACCCUCAGAGCACACCCUUACCUUGCUGGUCCAUGUAGAGAGGGGUCCCACCCAGGGAUACCACCGAAUCCACCAGGAGCAGGCACUUGUACCUAGAGAGAUGGGGGAUGGAACGGAGGGCCGCAGGUGAGGCAGGGGGCCGCUGGAGGGCUUGGGCCCCAGCCUGGAUGGGGUUUCUGAGCCUCAGGCUGGCAAGGAAGGGGGGGUGCCUCCCACCUGUGCCCCAGGAGUUGGCCAGUUGCCUUCUCCUGCCUGUCAGGAUCCGUCAGGACCUGUGGCUCUUUCUUUUGCAGCCCUGAUCAUUGGAGCAGAAGGAGCUGGGGGAGUGAGGGAGCAUCAUGGCCCUGGUGGGACCCAGCUGCAGGGCCCUGCAGUGGUGCCGAAGAGGGUCAGCCGGGCAGUCUGUGGUUCCCCAGGGACAGCAGGCGCAUGAGGGCCUGUGUGGACCCCAGGGACCACGGUGGCACCAAGCUGGGCCUCCCUCUGCCAACAGCUGCUCGGCCCAGCCACUGGCCAGAGUCCAGGGCCGGAGGGGACAGAGUCCCGGAACAGCACAAACAGCAGCACCUCAAACUCUCACCCUCCGAACUCUCACCCUCCGAACUCUCACCCUCCGAACUCUCACCCUCUGAACUCUCGCCCUCUGAACUCUCACCCUCCGAACUCUCGCCCUCUGAACUCUCACCCUCGUCCACCUCCAUAUUUUCUUGUAAAGAAAAGAAAGAUACAGAAAGUAUCUCGUGCUGGCUGCAGGUGGGGACGGCCUGGGUGUUGCUGAAGCCGGCCAGGUUAUGUUUGUGAGCUUUAUUCAUGGCCACGGUCCAUGUAGCAAGCUGUCCGGGCUGGGGGCCCUGCUGAAGGAUCCUCCCUGGCCGUGGAGUUUCUCUCCUCUGUCCUGUGCUCAGACCUGCCGACGGGACUGCUAGGUCCCAAGGGGCUCUGUCCCCAUUUCUCAGGAAUCCCGUCUGACUCCAUUCAAGGCCCUGCCCUGUGCACCCCCAUGCGGGGGUAAGGGAGGCUGGAGGAGGGAAGCGGAGGGCAUCAGGGAGCUUUAGUGCCCUUGCAAUCUCGGGGCGAGGUGGGGACAGGCCCUGGCAAGAUAUGGAGGUCUGUGCCAAGCCCUCUUCAGUCAUGGGGACAGAGGUCAGUGGGCACCGUGGGGGUGCUUGGCCAGGGAGCACCUGAGCCUGCCCCGGGGCCUGGGAUUGUCUUUAGACUCAGCCCAGAGCAAAGAGGACCUGAGAGGUGCUUGCACCCCACACCAUGUGACAGAGGCCAAGGUGGGGACCAGGGGCAGAAGCGCCAGAGGGACCAGUACCCACCCCUCCCCACAGCCUGGCUCUGAGCUGUGCUCUGGCCCACCGCCCUGGGGCCAGGUUCACCUGUGGCAGAGUUCCCCAAAACCGUCAAGGGGCUGCAGCACGCCGGUGGACGACUCCCCGUGGGUCAAGAACAGCAGCACCGGCUUGUGCUGGGCCAGGCCCUGGGGAGGCAGGGAUGGCUGCAGGCGAAGCUCAGAGGGGCAGGGGCCAGGAACCCCCCAACAAACCCCCCAUGGGUGGCCCAGCUCCAGGCAGCAGGGGCUGGGUGUGCCUCAACCCCUCCCUGACGGUGUGCAUGCGAGGCGGAGGCGGGGGCAUCUCCGAUUUGGGAGGAGGGCUUUUCCGAGAACAGGACUUUUGCGCAGAGGUGGAGGAAGGGUGGCCCCAGCCUGCUGCCUGGCCUGUGAGGGCUGUUGCUAGAUGGACGGAGUCCCCCACACUUCAGCCCCUCUGACCCUGCCCACAGGACCAAGCUCCUGACUCAGUUUCCCUGCCAGACAGAAGCCUCCCUACCAGUCUUCCCAUCAUUCCCAGGUAAUGGAGCCCUCCCCUGUGGCCACUCAGGAGAUGCUAGGAUGGGCUGAGGGCCAGCCAUGGGCCCCAGCCUCCCGGCUCUGAUCCCACCCCACUGGCUGGUCACUGCCAGGCAGCCCAUGAGCCAGCAUGCCCCCCAACCUCCUUCCAGACCUGACCCCCACCCUGGGUCCCCCUACCUCCUCCACCUCCUGCAGUGUGUAGUGGCCUCCAGGGUCCUUGGUCAUUGGGUGCACUCGGGCUCCUGGGUGCAGGACAGAGUGGGCCGUGAGUGUCCCGCACACACUGUAGAAGCCAGCGUUGGGCACCCGUGGCCCUGCUGAGCAGGGGGGCCCUGUGAGGGCUGGACCCCACCCUGGCUGCCUGAAGAGGAGGGUGUUCUCUGCCCAGUGAGAGCCUCUCUGUGUGUAGAGCCAGGGCCGUCUUGACCCCCCGACUGUUGGAGCCAAGGCUCCUGGGGUGCCCUUGACAGAGCUCAGCUCAAACACCCUUUCUCAGGCCACACUGGCCAGUGUCUCCCCAAGCAGAGUGAGCUCCUGGGGGUCGGGGCCGCACCUGGCCCAGGGCUGGCACAAGGAGUGCACCUGACCCAGGGCUGGCACACCACUGGUGUGGUGGAUGACAGAGCGAAGGAUGAGGGGUGAGCGAGGCAGCAGUCUGGCCCUCUGUUGGAGCUGGGACUCCAGGAAUCAGGCCCUCGUCCCCUCCUUCUCUCUGCCCCUAUCCUGCGUGCUGCUCGUGGCCAGGGUUGUGGGAGGGGAAGAACUUGCAGCCGAGGGUACAGAAUGGGGACAGGGGAGGCCAUAUACCGCAGGCAUCUGAGCCUGAGUGCCCUGAUGACCACUUGGGGUCCUGGCCUCUGCUGACCCUGGGUCCCCUUGAAAAGUUUGUGGACUUUGGAUUGGGACCGUCUUGGCUGUGGCAGUUGGUUGAGUAUUAACCAGCGUAGCCACUGUGGAGCUGGCCAAGCUGAUGUCCCUCAAUGCCACAAUCAAGCACUAACCCCAGGGCACACUCCUGCUCCUGUCUGUCUCCCAGAAAAGUGUACUCCGGAGGCACAUGCUCUGUCCAUACCUCCAUAUUUUGUGGAUCACAUCAAGGUUCCAGAAAGGGGGGCUGCUGAGAUUUGAGGGGAGGCUUCAGCUUCUGAAACCCCACCCUGUCACAGAGCAGAGCUGGUGCCUGGGGCCCUGGACAGUGGCUGGGGUUCUCAGGAGUGUGUGCUGGGACCAGAGGCUUCCCUGCAGUGCCAUCCCCCACGAGCUCCAGAAACAGCUCGAGGAGACUGGAGGGAUCGGAGCACCUGUGCUGCUCUCAGCCCUAUCAGAGUCAGGUCCCACGAGUGCCCUGACACCACCUGGAGGAGGCAGCGGGCUGAGAGAAGGAACGUGCGUGCAGGGCCACAGCGUGGGUAAGCGCUCACCCGGGGACAGGGCCGCCAGCUUCAAACAGAGGGAGACCAGGGAGGCCUUGAAGGAUGGAGCCAGGGCCAUCCCCACCUGGCUCUCUCCCUUACCCAUGCGCUCCCCGAUGUCCAUGGCUCGCUGCCCCCAAAUGCCAUUGACCCCGACCAGGAAGGAGUCCCCAGGCUCCAGCACAUUGACCAGGGCGGCCUCCAGGGCACAGUGUCCGGAGCCAGUGAUGACCAGUGUGAGCGGGUUCCUGGUCUGGAACACGUACUGGAUGCCUUCCUUGAUCUCGUCCAUGAUCUGCGUGCAUGUGGGAACAGGGUGAGACCCAGGCUCCUUGCCCCUCCCCGUCCGUGAUCUGCGUGUGGCUGGGUAGAGGGUGAGACCCAGGCUCCUUGCCCCCCUGUCCGUGAUCUGCGGGUGGGAACAGUGUGAGACCCAGGUUUCCGGUCCCCCCUCGUCUGUGAUCUGUGGGUGGAUACAGGGUCAGACCCAGGCCCCCGCGAGUGAGGAGACAGUGACCCCUCCCCUCGUCUGUGAUCUGCGGGUGGGAACACAGAGUUUGUGAGUCAAAAUGAGACCAGUUUUGAAGAAUGCAAUCCAAGGACGAGUAGACGGAAUUGAAGAAUGAAUUGGAUCCAUGCUGGGUUCAGAUCAGGGCUUCAGGAUCCCACUGAAGAGUAGUCUUGGCCAGGGCCCUCAGUUCCCGAGUAAAGAACCAGACCAUCAAGGGAAGCAGGGAGGGAAAAGAAGGGAGAGAUCCCAGUAAAGUCCCGUAUGCACAACCAAGGAGCCGGGCGAGGUGUUGGAGCCCCAGCAUCGGGAAGUGGCCGACUCGCGGGCUGGACGCAAGGUGUUGUUCGCUCGUCCUCUGUCAAGGUAACCAGGAGAAGCUGUUGCAACCACCAAGGGAGGGUGUUUCCUCAGGCCGAGAGCUUAUUGGGAGCUUCGGAGCUACUGACGACAGCAAGCUGCAGGGCAGGCAAGGUGUGGGGGAGGAGGGCAGCAGGAGUAGGAGUGGUCUCCUUCCUUACUAAGACUUUUGAGACUUUGAUCCAGCACAUGCACACAUGUGGGAACGAUUCUUUGGCCACCCCAACCUGCAGAAAGACACAGUUCUGAGAAACAACUGGGCGCUGUGCGGAGCUCAGACCGUGGCAGGAACGGGCAGUGCAUCAUGGCCGCCCGUUGGGUGGCAGGAGGUGAGUGGCCACAGAGCAAGGCAGGCAGGUGCCCAUGUGCAGCUCCAGCAUGUGCCUGUAAAAACUUUUAAAACACUCUGCUCUUCAUGGAAAAAUGUAGAAACAGCCCCACGUGGCAGGGAAGGCACCAGCCCUGGGAACUCCUGCCGGUUCCGGCCUCCUGAGCCUGACCCUCAGUGAGGGCUCUCACCCCAGCUGGGACAUGGCUGUUCCACAGAGGCCGGCACGGAUGCCGUUGAGGAGAAGGGUGUCUGAGCAAGCUGGGUUCUCCUUUGUGCGUGGCCCACACUCACUCACGAGCCUCUCCACCUGGAAUUCUGCCCUGUGGAGGGGGGAUGUCCACGCCCACCCUGGCCUGCAUUUCAGGGAUUUUAUGAGCAUCAGAGGGCAUAACACGCCAUGGUGAAACCUGCCCAAUUGUGCCAUAGAACGGAUGUUGAUGAUUUCUUUUAAAUACACAUAGAAAUUGGCCCUCCCAGUCUUAAAACUUGAGAAAGCUACAUUUGUCUUAUCUGAGUUCCUUUCUCAGGAAACUGGCCCUCAGCCCUCCCAGGGAGUCUGAAGGAAUGGAGACUCACCAGAUCAUGGCAUCUAGACAAAGAGAUGCCAGACCCUUCCCCCGUCAUGGCUGCCUGUCCGGCCACCUGCUUCCUCCUGACCAACUCCUCUUCCUCACUCUCCCUCGUUCCUGUUUUCCUGCAGGUAGUUACAUUUCUGCUCUGCAAACCUCUACUUGUAGUUGAUCAGGGUGAUGGAUUUGAGGUCCAUCUCCCACCUCCUUGGCUGCUGCUCCCCAUUAAAGCCUCCUUAUUGGCUUUCUGUGUGGCGAGCAGCAGGACCGAGACCAGACUCCUGGUGUUUCGGUAACAAGGGGACACUCGAGAAACUACAGCCGCAAAUCAGCUCAGCCUCGAUGCCGAUGAGAAGCUGGUGGCCUUGCCCUUCUCAAGGGUUUUCCCAGGAAAAUCAAUUUGAUGCCUACUUGAGAUGCACUUUUUAAAUUGAUUUUUUUUACAAUAAAAGUAUUGUAUGUUCAUUGUAAAUACUUUUAAAACAUCAAAAUACGUUGCUUAAAAAAUUAAAUGCCUUAAAAAUGCCUUAAUACCCUCUAUACCCUCUAUUUAGAUGAGCCCAAUUUUUUUUUUUUUUUUGAGAUGGAGUCUCGCUCUGUUGCCUGGGCUGGAGUGCAGUGGUACAAUCGCAGCUCACUGCAACCUCCGCCUCCCAGGUUCCAGCUAUUCUCCUGCCUCAGCCUCCCAGGUAGCUGGGACUAUAGGUGUGCACCACAAUGCCCAGCUAAUUUUGUAUUUUUAGUAGAAAUGGGGUUUCACCAUGUUGGCCAGGCUGGUCUCGAACUUCUGACCUCGUGAUCCACCUGCCUUGGCUUCCCAAAUGUGCUGGGGUUACAGGCGCAAGCCACCACUCCCAGCCAAAGCCCACUUUUACAACGGUGGGGGUGCGUGUCAGUUUCUCAUAUUUAUUUUGCUACAUUUUGGUCCAUAUAACUGAAAUCAUUCAACACGCACUGGUAUUUGAAUGGAGUAAACACCAGAAGAUUCUUGGGCCCCAGUGGAAGGUAACAGAUAGGACAGAUUGGUGCUGUGCAGCGUGUGGCCCUGGUGGAUUUAUCAGUGUCUACUAUCCCACAAAAUUUUUGAAAGAAACAACUGAAGUCAUCUGAUAGCACUUAAAGAGGCAGCAUCGCUACCCGUGUGCAUCAGGGUGAUUUGGCCACAGCUUAAAUCGAACGUUCUACCAAGGGUGAAUCUCCUUUCUCUGGAUCUGCUGGGUGCCAGGAGAGCAGUUUAUCACCCUCGUGUAGGGAAGGGUGACAAGCAGGCUGGGGUGCUCCCUCGGCACUGGAUUUUGGGGGUCCUCACCACCCUGGCGGAUCAGAGGGGCCACUGCGCCUAAGCUGUGUGUGCAGACAAGCGGUUCCACUGGGCACCUGCUUUCCUCCCAGGGAUCCGAGAUCUGCAGGCAUGCCAGGCAGAGGGUGCGGCAUGACCAGCCCCAGAACAGCCCUGGUGCUGAGGCUGUGAGGCACUGAAGGGCUUCCAUGGUUGGAACAUGUCACACGCGUCACCAUAACGCGGUGCUGGGGAAUGACGUGCAUCCCGUGGGCUGCACCUGGAGAGGAUGCUGGGAGCUUGCGCCGGUUUCCUCCAUGCUCUGCCCCGCGCCCUGCCCUGUGCUGACUGUGUGUGUGUGUCCUUUCCUGGUAAAAAAUCAAAGGUCAGCAAGUCCUCCUGGAGAACUGUCAGCCUGGAGCCAUGGCAAACCUGCACAGCCACCUGUUUCCACCUCAGGCAGUGGUGUGGUUUCCCUCCACACGGUUGAUUCUCGUUAGAGCCACAGUCGCCGUCCUCUGUGCUGACAACCUUGUUCUCCCAUCCCGGGAGAGUUCUGAGGUUUGAUUCAUUAAUUCAUGUUUUUGUUUGUUCACCAUCAUUUAUUGAUAAUGUUCCCUGGAUCAAUCAUAAGAGAAUAAACGAUCAUGAAUAAAACAGUGAGAAAACGCA